RNAcentral lists this transfer RNA (68 nucleotides) under Lasiurus borealis (red bat). RNAcentral's name for it is "tRNA-Val". It matches the Rfam family "tRNA". From Rfam's summary of the family: Transfer RNA (tRNA) molecules are approximately 80 nucleotides in length. Their secondary structure includes four short double-helical elements and three loops (D, anti-codon, and T loops). The record is from RNAcentral. RNAcentral also lists the same sequence under 1 other name. Lineage: Eukaryota; Metazoa; Chordata; Mammalia; Chiroptera; Vespertilionidae.
CAAAGUGUAGCUUAACUUAAAGCAUCUAGUUUACACCUAGAAGAUUUCAUUUAAACUGACCACUUUGA